RNAcentral lists this long non-coding RNA (1001 nucleotides) under Equus caballus (horse). RNAcentral describes it as "lncRNA (ENSECAG00000056894.1)". The record is from RNAcentral. Lineage: Eukaryota; Metazoa; Chordata; Mammalia; Perissodactyla; Equidae.
GGAUAAUUUUUCUCAUUGUCCGUUUUCCCUUAUAAUACCACUUUUUACCUUGCAUAAAGUUAGUAAGUAUCCAAGUCUGUUCUUUUCUUGAUUUAGUCUGAGCCUUUGAGUUUUUAUGAUUUUCCACCUUGACCACCUCUCCAGGAUUUCCCUCCCCAAAACCCCUGGCCCAUGCUUUCACUCAGGGUCAGAGGUUUUGGCUAUGGAUGAGAUCUUUCAGGUUCCUUUUCUUCUUCUGGUCUAAUUCUACAGCUGGGAGACAGCAGUGGCACUGAGUAGAGACUGUUCGUUAAGUAAGGAGCUAAGAGUGGGACACGUCCAGUAUUCAAUUUGUAUAGUAAUAAUACAUCAAGGAGAGAAUCACUCACACGUGGGAGGAAGACCUCCCAGAGGGCAGGGCUUCUCAGGUAUUUAUGAUUUCAGGACUUAGAAACAUGAAACACCGUGAGCAAAGUCAGGGGUGUCUAAUAUCACGGACCAGGACUUUCUGCUUCCUCUUAAGUCUUCUCAGAGAUCCAGAACCUGUCUCCUUAACUUUUCUUCUGACCCACACCCAAUUCAAGGCUCUUCUUCUGUGAAACACCUGAGCCAUCUUUAAGUCUCUUUUAAGGGGUUGGAUCAUGCCAGAGGAAGUGUCUCUCUGGCCACGCUACGUGGUCAGACCCAGCAGCUGAGGAGCAACAAGGACAAGCUCUUGGCUUCUUCUGGUGGAAGACACCACAGGUCAACAGAACAUGUUGGCAUAAAGAAGAGCUGCAGAGUCGAACUCCAGUAAAUAAAGCAAUCUAACCUAAACAUCCUAAAGCACUGGAAAGAUCCUAAACUGGUGGUGUCUGGACAGCUUCAGGAAAGCAAGACAAGAACUGAUUCGGAAAUAGCCAGUGCAUCCAGGCUGUAUGUUUUAAUUCGAUUUUCAGAGAUGAGAUAUGUUUGGACUUAAGGUUUAUUUAAUAAAUGUCCUAUCGUAAUGUUUCUUCUAGAAGCCUCCUUCCUGUGGUUUC